RNAcentral lists this ribosomal RNA (305 nucleotides) under uncultured bacterium. RNAcentral's name for it is "bacterial SSU rRNA". It matches the Rfam family "Bacterial small subunit ribosomal RNA", at positions 334 to 638 of the family's 1533-position model. The record is from RNAcentral.
UUAGCCUACGGGAGGCAGCAGUGGGGAAUAUUGCACAAUGGGGGAAACCCUGAUGCAGCGACGCCGCGUGAGUGAAGAAGUAUUUCGGUAUGUAAAGCUCUAUCAGCAGGGAAGAAAUAGCGACCUUUGGGUCGCCAGACGGUACCUGACUAAGAAGCCCCGGCUAACUACGUGCCAGCAGCCGCGGUAAUACGUAGGGGGCAAGCGUUAUCCGGAUUUACUGGGUGUAAAGGGAGCGUAGACGGCCAUGCAAGUCUGAUGUGAAAACCCGGGGCUCAACCCCGGGACUGCAUUGGAAACUGAGG